GACGAACGCUGGCGGCGUGCUUAACACAUGCAAGUCGAACGGUGAAGCUCCAGCUUGCUGGAGUGGAUCAGUGGCGAACGGGUGAGUAACACGUGAGCAACCUGCCCCUGACUCUGGAAUAAGCGCUGGAAACGGCGUCUAAUACUGGAUACGAGAAGGGUCCGCAUGGGCACUUUCUGGAAAGUUUUUCGGUUGGGGAUGGGCUCGCGGCCUAUCAGCUUGUUGGUGAGGUAAUGGCUCACCAAGGCGACGACGGGUAGCCGGCCUGAGAGGGCGACCGGCCAAAACGGGACUGAGAAACGGCCCAGACUCCUACGGGAGGCAGCAGUGGGGAAUAUUGCACAAUGGGCGAAAGCCUGAUGCAGCGACGCCGCGUGAGGGAUGACGGCCUUCGGGUUGUAAACCGCUUUCAGCAGGGAAGAAGCGAAAGUGACGGUACCUGCAGAAGAAGCACCGGCUAACUACGUG
Molecule: ribosomal RNA, 468 nt
Filed under: uncultured bacterium
Lineage: Bacteria
Description: partial 16S ribosomal RNA
Rfam family: Bacterial small subunit ribosomal RNA
Source: RNAcentral